CAGCAGCCGCGGGAAUACGAGGGGGGCAAGCGUUGUUCGGAAUUAUUGGGCGUAAAGGGUGCGUAGGCGGUCUGACAAGUCUUGUGUGAAAUCUCUGGGCUCAACCCAGAGUCUGCACGGGAAACUGUCGGGCUAGAGGGUGAGAGAGGUGAGUGGAAUUUCCGGUGUAGCGGUGAAAUGCGUAGAUAUCGGAAGGAACACCUGUGGCGAAAGCGGCUCACUGGACCAUAACUGACGCUGAUGCACGAAAGCUAGGGGAGCGAACGGGAUUAGAUACCCCAGUAGUCCCUGUCUCUUAUAC
This 301-nucleotide ribosomal RNA is filed under the name uncultured bacterium. RNAcentral's name for it is "partial 16S ribosomal RNA". It matches the Rfam family "Bacterial small subunit ribosomal RNA", at positions 509 to 807 of the family's 1533-position model. The record is from RNAcentral.